Molecule: ribosomal RNA, 450 nt
Filed under: uncultured Fusibacter sp.
Lineage: Bacteria; Bacillati; Bacillota; Clostridia; Eubacteriales; Fusibacteraceae
Description: bacterial SSU rRNA
Rfam family: Bacterial small subunit ribosomal RNA
Source: RNAcentral
AGCAUGUGGUUUAAUUCGAAGCAACGCGAAGAGCCUUACCAGAUCUUGACAUCCAAUUGACCAUCUUUUAAUCGAGAUUUUGCCUUCGGGUACAAUUGAGACAGGUGGUGCAUGGUUGUCGUCAGCUCGUGUCGUGAGAUGUUGGGUUAAGUCCCGCAACGAGCGCAACCCUUGUGUUUAGUUGCAAACAGGUCAGGCUGUGCACUCUAGACAGACUGCCGUGGACAACACGGAGGAAGGUGGGGAUGACGUCAAAUCAUCAUGCCCCUUAUGAUCUGGGCUACACACGUGCUACAAUGGCCGGUACAACGGGCAGCGAAGGAGCGAUCCGGAGCGAAUCCUAAAAAGCCGGUCCCAGUUCGGAUUGCAGUCUGCAACUCGACUGCAUGAAGCCGGAAUCGCUAGUAAUCGUGGAUCAGCCAAGCCGCGGUGAAUACGUUCCCGGGCCUU